CUGAGUGAUGAUAAAGAGGGGAGGGUGCACCCGAUUGAGGAGAGAAAGAGGAAGGAAAUGAGCGACCCGUGUUAUCAGGAA
This 81-nucleotide small nucleolar RNA is filed under the name Nicotiana sylvestris (wood tobacco). The record is from RNAcentral. Lineage: Eukaryota; Viridiplantae; Streptophyta; Magnoliopsida; Solanales; Solanaceae. RNAcentral also lists the same sequence under 1 other name.